RNAcentral lists this ribosomal RNA (285 nucleotides) under Triticum aestivum (bread wheat). RNAcentral's name for it is "partial small subunit ribosomal RNA". The record is from RNAcentral. Lineage: Eukaryota; Viridiplantae; Streptophyta; Magnoliopsida; Poales; Poaceae.
GGAUGCAAUCGUCUUGUCGUUAACUCUCACAAUAUGGAGGUGAUUGACACAAUGAAGAAUGGAGGAUAUUCGGCGGGAGCGGCGGCGGCAGUGUUCGAUGAUUUCUAUUUCAUAGCUUGUGAUUUUCCUCUUGUUAGGUUCGAACAUUGUAAUAGGGAAGCAAAUAAGGUGGCUCACGAACUUUCUAGGCUAGCAAAAUUUACCUUCACUAGGGAUUGGUUUGAGGAACCUAUGAGUGAUAUUGUACCUUUUCUUAUUGACCAUGUAACUAUUAUUUCUAAUUAA